This 421-nucleotide ribosomal RNA is filed under the name uncultured bacterium. RNAcentral's name for it is "partial 16S ribosomal RNA". It matches the Rfam family "Bacterial small subunit ribosomal RNA", at positions 360 to 773 of the family's 1533-position model. The record is from RNAcentral.
AAUAUUGGAAAAGGGGCGAAAGCGUGAUCUAGCAAUGCCGCGUGUUUGAAGAAGGUCUUAGGUUAGUAAAGCACUUUAAGGUGGGAAAUGUGGAAGUAAGCUAAGACCCUGAUGUUUUGACGUUCCCGACAGAAUAAGUACCGGCUAACUCCGUGCCCGCAGCCGCGGUAAUACGAAGGGUGCAAUGGUUAAUCGGAAUUACUGGGCGUAAAGCGCGCGUAGGCGGUUUGUUAAGUUGGAAGUGAAAGCCCCGGGCUCAACCUGGGAACUGCUUUCAAAACUGGCAAGCUAGAGUAUGGCAGAGGGUGGUGGAAUUUCCUGUGUAGCGGUGAAAUGCGUAGAUAUAGGAAGGAACACCAGUGGCGAAGGCGACUACCUGGACUGAUACUGACACUGAGGUGCGAAAGCGUGGGGAGCAAAC